Molecule: ribosomal RNA, 495 nt
Filed under: uncultured bacterium
Lineage: Bacteria
Description: partial 16S ribosomal RNA
Rfam family: Bacterial small subunit ribosomal RNA
Source: RNAcentral
GACGAACGCUGGCGGCGUGCCUAAUACAUGCAAGUAGAACGCUGAAGGAGGAGCUUGCUCUUCUGGAUGAGUUGCGAACGGGUGAGUAACGCGUAGGUAACCUGCCUGGUAGCGGGGGAUAACUAUUGGAAACGAUAGCUAAUACCGCAUAACAGUAGAUGUUGCAUGACAUUUACUUAAAAGGUGCAAUUGCAUCACUACCAGAUGGACCUGCGUUGUAUUAGCUAGUUGGUGGGGUAACGGCUCACCAAGGCGACGAUACAUAGCCGACCUGAGAGGGUGAUCGGCCACACUGGGACUGAGACACGGCCCAGACUCCUACGGGAGGCAGCAGUAGGGAAUCUUCGGCAAUGGACGGAAGUCUGACCGAGCAACGCCGCGUGAGCGAAGAAGGUUUUCGGAUCGUAAAGCUCUGUUGUAAGAGAAGAACGAGUGUGAGAGUGGAAAGUUCACACUGUGACGGUAUCUUACCAGAAAGGGACGGCUAACUACGUG